RNAcentral lists this ribosomal RNA (115 nucleotides) under Colletotrichum higginsianum. The record is from RNAcentral. Lineage: Eukaryota; Fungi; Ascomycota; Sordariomycetes; Glomerellales; Glomerellaceae.
AUACGACCAUACUCAUUGGAAAACUCGGGAUCCCGUCCGCUCUCCCAUAGAUAAGCCAAUGAAGGCUGGAGUAGUAGUCGGGUCGGUGACGACCGGCGAAUGCCCGGUGUUGUAU